RNAcentral lists this ribosomal RNA (465 nucleotides) under Vreelandella stevensii. RNAcentral's name for it is "partial 16S ribosomal RNA". It matches the Rfam family "Bacterial small subunit ribosomal RNA", at positions 338 to 795 of the family's 1533-position model. Lineage: Bacteria; Pseudomonadati; Pseudomonadota; Gammaproteobacteria; Oceanospirillales; Halomonadaceae. The record is from RNAcentral.
CCUACGGGAGGCAGCAGUGGGGAAUAUUGGACAAUGAGGGGAACCCUGAUCCAGCCAUGCCGCGUGUGUGAAGAAGGCCCUCGGGUUGUAAAGCACUUUCAGUGAGGAAGAACGCCUGGUGGUUAAUACCCAGCAGGAAAGACAUCACUCACAGAAGAAGCACCGGCUAACUCCGUGCCAGCAGCCGCGGUAAUACGGAGGGUGCGAGCGUUAAUCGGAAUUACUGGGCGUAAAGCGCGCGUAGGUGGCUUGAUAAGCCGGUUGUGAAAGCCCCGGGCUCAACCUGGGAACGGCAUCCGGAACUGUCAAGCUAGAGUGCAGGAGAGGAAGGUAGAAUUCCCGGUGUAGCGGUGAAAUGCGUAGAGAUCGGGAGGAAUACCAGUGGCGAAGGCGGCCUUCUGGACUGACACUGACACUGAGGUGCGAAAGCGUGGGUAGCAAACAGGAUUAGAUACCCCUGUAGUC